GUCCUACGGGACGCAGCAGUGAGGAAUAUUGGUCAAUGGCCGAGAGGCUGAACCAGCCAAGUCGCGUGAGGGAUGACGGCCCUACGGGUUGUAAACCUCUUUUGUCGGGGAGCAAGACCCGCCUCGUGCAGGCGGAGCGAGAGUACCCGAAGAAAAAGCAUCGGCUAACUCCGUGCCAGCAGCCGCGGUAAUACGGAGGAUGCGAGCGUUAUCCGGAUUUAUUGGGUUUAAAGGGUGCGCAGGCGGGAGAUCAAGUCAGCGGUAAAAUGUCGGGGCUCAACGCCGGCCGGCCGUUGAAACGGGUU
RNAcentral lists this ribosomal RNA (305 nucleotides) under uncultured bacterium. RNAcentral describes it as "bacterial SSU rRNA". It matches the Rfam family "Bacterial small subunit ribosomal RNA", at positions 335 to 638 of the family's 1533-position model. The record is from RNAcentral.